GUACACUCCUACGGGAGGCAGCAGUGGGGAAUUUUGGACAAUGGGCGAAAGCCUGAUCCAGCAAUGCCGCGUGUGUGGAGAAGGCCUUCGGGUUGUAAAGCACUUUUGUCCGGAAAGAAAUCCUUGGCUCUAAUACAGUCGGGGGAUGACGGUACCGGAAGAAUAAGCACCGGCUAACUACGUGCCAGCAGCCGCGGUAAUACGUAGGGUGCGAGCGUUAAUCGGAAUUACUGGGCGUAAAGCGUGCGCAGGCGGUUUGCUAAGACCGAUGUGAAAUCCCCGGGCUCAACCUGGGAACUGCAUUGGUGACGGGCAGGCUAGAGUAUGGCAGAGGGGGGUAGAAUUCCACGUGUAGCAGUGAAAUGCGUAGAGAUGUGGAGGAAUACCGAUGGCGAAGGCAGCCCCCUGGGCCAAUACUGACGCUCAUGCACGAAAGCGUGGGGAGCAAACAGGAUUAGAAACCCUAGUAGUCC
This 473-nucleotide ribosomal RNA is filed under the name uncultured organism. Its description in RNAcentral is "partial 16S ribosomal RNA". It matches the Rfam family "Bacterial small subunit ribosomal RNA", at positions 331 to 796 of the family's 1533-position model. The record is from RNAcentral.